This 253-nucleotide ribosomal RNA is filed under the name uncultured bacterium. RNAcentral describes it as "partial 16S ribosomal RNA". It matches the Rfam family "Bacterial small subunit ribosomal RNA", at positions 524 to 776 of the family's 1533-position model. The record is from RNAcentral.
UACGGAAGGGGCAAGCGUUGUUCGGAAUUACUGGGCGUAAAGAGCGCGUAGGCGGCUUACCAAGUUGGGGGUGAAAUCCCGGAGCUCAACUCCGGAACUGCCUUCAAAACUGGUAGGCUCGAGUCCGGAAGAGGGGCGUGGAAUUCCCAGUGUAGAGGUGGAAUUCGUAGAUAUUGGGAAGAACACCGGUGGCGAAGGCGACGCCCUGGUCCGGUACUGACGCUGAGGCGCGAAAGCGUGGGGAGCAAACAGG